GAUGAACGCUGGCGGCGUGCCUAAUACAUGCAAGUCGAGCGAACAGACGAGGAGCUUGCUCCUCUGACGUUAGCGGCGGACGGGUGAGUAACACGUGGAUAACCUACCUAUAAGACUGGGAUAACUUCGGGAAACCGGAGCUAAUACCGGAUAAUAUAUUGAACAGAAUGGUUCAAUAGUGAAAGACGGUUUUGCUGUCACUUAUAGAUGGAUCCGCGCCGCAUUAGCUAGUUGGUAAGGUAACGGCUUACCAAGGCAACGAUGCGUAGCCGACCUGAGAGGGUGAUCGGCCACACUGGAACUGAGACACGGUCCAGACUCCUACGGGAGGCAGCAGUAGGGAAUCUUCCGCAAUGGGCGAAAGCCUGACGGAGCAACGCCGCGUGAGUGAUGAAGGUCUUCGGAUCGUAAAACUCUGUUAUUAGGGAAGAACAAAUGUGUAAGUAACUAUGCACGUCUUGACGGUACCUAAUCAGAAAGCCACGGCUAACUACGUG
RNAcentral lists this ribosomal RNA (497 nucleotides) under uncultured bacterium. RNAcentral describes it as "partial 16S ribosomal RNA". It matches the Rfam family "Bacterial small subunit ribosomal RNA", at positions 28 to 507 of the family's 1533-position model. The record is from RNAcentral.